Molecule: ribosomal RNA, 492 nt
Filed under: uncultured bacterium
Lineage: Bacteria
Description: partial 16S ribosomal RNA
Rfam family: Bacterial small subunit ribosomal RNA
Source: RNAcentral
AUUGAACGCUGGCGGUAGGCCUAACACAUGCCAGUCGAACGGCAGCACAGUAAUAGCUUUCUCGUCCGGUUGGCGAGUGGCGGACGGUUUAGGAAUACAUCCGAAUCUACUUUUUCUUGGUGGAUAACGUCGUGACACUUACCCUAUUACCGCAUACGACCUACGCGUGAAAGCAUGGGAUCUUCCGACCUUGCGCGAUUGAAUGAGCCGAUGUCGGAUUAGCUAGUUGGCGGGGUAACGGCCCACCAAGGCGACGAUCCGUAGCUGGUCUGAGAGGAUGAUCAGCCACACUGGAACUGAGACACGGCCCAGACUCCUACGGGAGGCAGCAGUGGGGAAUAUUGGACAAUGGGCGCAAGCCUGAUCCAGCCAUACCGCGUGGGUGAAGAAGGCCUUCGGGUUGUAAAGCCCUUUUGUUGGGAAAGAAAAGCAGCAGGUUAAUACCCCGCUGUUCUGACGGUACCCAAAGAAUAAGCACCGGCUAACUUCGUG